UACAGAGGGUGCGAGCGUUGUCCGGAAUCACUGGGCGUAAAGGGCGCGUAGGCGGCUUGAUAAGCGUGCGGUGAAAGCCCGGAGCUCAACUCCGGGUCGGCCGUCGAUACUUCCGGGCUUGAGCACUGUAGAGGCAGAUGGAAUUCCGGGUGUAGCGGUGGAAUGCGUAGAGAUCCGGAAGAACACCGGUGGCGAAGGCGGUUCUCUGGGCAUUACCUGACGCUGAGGAGCGAAAGUGUGGGGAGCGAACAGG
RNAcentral lists this ribosomal RNA (253 nucleotides) under uncultured bacterium. Its description in RNAcentral is "partial 16S ribosomal RNA". It matches the Rfam family "Bacterial small subunit ribosomal RNA", at positions 524 to 776 of the family's 1533-position model. The record is from RNAcentral.